RNAcentral lists this non-coding RNA (790 nucleotides) under Duplodicodrilus acinctus. The record is from RNAcentral. Lineage: Eukaryota; Metazoa; Annelida; Clitellata; Crassiclitellata; Megascolecidae.
CAGUUUGAUUCUGACUGAGAAAUUAACUUUAUACCAACUAACAUACAUGUAAAAUAUUUUAUGCCCGCAUUAAUUCACAUCUAAAAGACUUAAUAAAUGUAUUAAGAAUUCCCGAUACAGCAGAGCGCCACAGUAGACAACACUUUUCAAUUUGAAAAAUCAAGAAAAGAGUAUGGUAAGAGGGCUGGCAAAAUUCGUGCCAGCUGCCGCGGUUAGACGAAAAGCCCAAGUUAAUAAAAUAUAAACUAAAUUAAUGAUAAACUAAAUAAUAAUAAAGGUCUAAUUUUAAAAUCUGUGACCCUUAUUUAUCAAGUAACAAAUGAAAUCAUGAACUAAAACAUGGAUUAGAUACCCACCUAUUCAUGACGUAAAUAAAAGUUGGAUAUUACGAACAAUAGUUUAAAAUUCAAAGAUUUUGGCGGUGUCUUAUAAAAUCAGGGGAACCUGUCUCAUAACUCGAUAGUCCACGUAUACUCAACCUCCCUUUGAUAGUCAGCAUGUGUACUGCCGUUGUAAGCACACCUUUAAAAGAAUAGUGUGCCACUAUGACUAAAAGAUAGCUCAUAUACAUCAGGUCAAAGUGCAGCCAAUGAGGGGGUGAUGAUGGGUUACAACCCUAAAAUAGACUAUCAACUAAGAAAUAAAAAAUCUUACGAAAGUGGACUUGACCGUAAUCAAUUUACAAGUUAAAUAAAUGAACAAUAUCUAAGACAUGCACACAUCGCCCGUCACUCUACCCUAAAGGGUAGAUAAGUCGUAACAAAGUAGGUGUAAUGGAAAUUGCACCUGU